RNAcentral lists this ribosomal RNA (492 nucleotides) under uncultured bacterium. Its description in RNAcentral is "partial 16S ribosomal RNA". It matches the Rfam family "Bacterial small subunit ribosomal RNA", at positions 29 to 507 of the family's 1533-position model. The record is from RNAcentral.
AGUGAACGCUGGCGGUAGGCCUAACACAUGCAAGUCGAACGGCAGCACAGUAAGAGCUUGCUCUUACUGGUGGCGAGUGGCGGACGGGUGAGGAAUACAUCGGAAUCUACUUUUUCGUGGGGGAUAACGUAGGGAAACUUACGCUAAUACCGCAUACUACCUACGGGUGAAAGCAGGGGAUCUUCGGACCUUGCGCGAUUGAAUGAGCCGAUGUCGGAUUAGCUAGUUGGCGUGGUAAAGGCCCACCAAGGCGACGAUCCGUAGCUGGUCUGAGAGGAUGAUCAGCCACACUGGAACUGAGACACGGUCCAGACUCCUACGGGAGGCAGCAGUGGGGAAUAUUGGACAAUGGGCGCAAGCCUGAUCCAGCCAUACCGCGUGGGUGAAGAAGGCCUUCGGGUUGUAAAGCCCUUUUGUUGGGAAAGAAAAGCAGCAGGUGAAUACCCCGCUGUUCUGACGGUACCCAAAGAAUAAGCACCGGCUAACUUCGUG